AAGACUAUAGACCUGCGGAGUACCUGCGGAAGGAUCAUUACAGGACUCGCAAGACUCCUACAACCCUGUGAACUUAACUAUAAGCACGUUGCUUCGGCGGGUGUCUCGGCGAGGGUUCUCCCUCCCCGGGGCGCUAAGCCCGCCGGCAGCCUACUAUACUCUGUCUCUUUGCGUUGGCAUCUCGAGUACAAACAAACAAGUUAAAACUUUCAGCAAUGGAUCUCUAGAUCGGAAGAGCAC
This 240-nucleotide unclassified non-coding RNA is filed under the name soil metagenome. Its description in RNAcentral is "partial contains 5.8S ribosomal RNA, internal transcribed spacer 2, and large subunit ribosomal RNA". The record is from RNAcentral.